GGUCUCGUAGCUCAGUGGGAGAGCGUCCGCCUCACACGCGGAAGGUCGCUGGUUCGAUACCAGCCGGGACCACAA
This 75-nucleotide transfer RNA is filed under the name Mycolicibacterium hodleri. Its description in RNAcentral is "tRNA-Val". It matches the Rfam family "tRNA". Rfam says of the family: Transfer RNA (tRNA) molecules are approximately 80 nucleotides in length. The record is from RNAcentral. Lineage: Bacteria; Bacillati; Actinomycetota; Actinomycetes; Mycobacteriales; Mycobacteriaceae. RNAcentral also lists the same sequence under 1 other name.